UUUUACGGAGAGUUUGAUCCUGGCUCAGGACGAACGCUGGCGGCGUGCUUAACACAUGCAAGUCGAACGAUGAUGCCCAGCUUGCUGGGUGGAUUAGUGGCGAACGGGUGA
RNAcentral lists this ribosomal RNA (111 nucleotides) under Curtobacterium flaccumfaciens. Its description in RNAcentral is "partial 16S ribosomal RNA". It matches the Rfam family "Bacterial small subunit ribosomal RNA", at positions 1 to 109 of the family's 1533-position model. The record is from RNAcentral. Lineage: Bacteria; Bacillati; Actinomycetota; Actinomycetes; Micrococcales; Microbacteriaceae. RNAcentral also lists the same sequence under 1 other name.